GCUAGAUGGCUGAAUAAAGGCGUUGGUCUCUUAAACCAUUUUAUAGUUAGUACUUCUAGUUUA
RNAcentral lists this transfer RNA (63 nucleotides) under Centruroides vittatus. RNAcentral's name for it is "tRNA-Lys". Lineage: Eukaryota; Metazoa; Arthropoda; Arachnida; Scorpiones; Buthidae. The record is from RNAcentral.